GACGAACGCUGGCGGCGCGCCUAACACAUGCAAGUCGAACGAGCGAGAGAGAGCUUGCUUUCUCGAGCGAGUGGCGAACGGGUGAGUAACGCGUGAGGAACCUGCCUCAAAGAGGGGGACAACAGUUGGAAACGACUGCUAAUACCGCAUAAGCCCACGGGUCGGCAUCGACCAGAGGGAAAAGGAGCAAUCCGCUUUGAGAUGGCCUCGCGUCCGAUUAGCUAGUUGGUGAGGUAACGGCCCACCAAGGCAACGAUCGGUAGCCGGACUGAGAGGUUGAACGGCCACAUUGGGACUGAGACACGGCCCAGACUCCUACGGGAGGCAGCAGUGGGGAAUAUUGCACAAUGGGGGAAACCCUGAUGCAGCGACGCCGCGUGGAGGAAGAAGGUCUUCGGAUUGUAAACUCCUGUUGU
RNAcentral lists this ribosomal RNA (416 nucleotides) under uncultured bacterium. RNAcentral's name for it is "bacterial SSU rRNA". It matches the Rfam family "Bacterial small subunit ribosomal RNA", at positions 28 to 439 of the family's 1533-position model. The record is from RNAcentral.